Molecule: ribosomal RNA, 298 nt
Filed under: uncultured bacterium
Lineage: Bacteria
Description: partial 16S ribosomal RNA
Rfam family: Bacterial small subunit ribosomal RNA
Source: RNAcentral
CCUGAACGCUGGCGGCGUGGUUAAGACAUGCAAGUCGCACGGGUGUAGCAAUACACCAGUGGCGGACGGGUGAGUAAUGUAUCGCUAACGUGCCCUUCAGACGGGGAUAGCCAUCCGAAAGGGUGGGUAAUACUCGAUGAGACCACAGUGUCGCAUGACACGGUGCUCAAAGGCCGCAAGGCGCUGAUGGAGCGGGCGAUAUCGUAUCAGCAGUUGGUGAGGUAACGGCUCACCAAGGCGACGACGCGUAGCCGGACUGAGAGGUUGGCCGGCCACAUUGGGACUGAGACACUGCCCA